RNAcentral lists this unclassified non-coding RNA (322 nucleotides) under Hevea brasiliensis (rubber tree). Lineage: Eukaryota; Viridiplantae; Streptophyta; Magnoliopsida; Malpighiales; Euphorbiaceae. The record is from RNAcentral.
AGCUACUUGACAAAAUGAAUGGCAAAUACAAAUAUCCUGUGACCUGUCGACUAGACUCAACAAAGGGGAAGUUAACCCUCGUGUGAAGGCAGAAACUAACAAAAAACGGAAGUCGCUGCUACUUCAUUUUGUCCCCAUCAUGUAAGAAAAUGAAGAACCUAUUUUCUAAUUCAGGCAAUGCAAUUUCAGAACUGCUUCUGUGUCUCUGAAGGAUCAUUGCUGAAACUGAAUCCUGAGGUACCAUGUGAGAAACCUUAACAAGCAAGACUUCAUCCAUUCUAGAUGAAUUUUGAAGGCAUGAUAUGAAAGUUUCAAAGCAUAC